Molecule: ribosomal RNA, 253 nt
Filed under: uncultured bacterium
Lineage: Bacteria
Description: partial 16S ribosomal RNA
Rfam family: Bacterial small subunit ribosomal RNA
Source: RNAcentral
UACGGAGGAUCCGAGCGUUAUCCGGAUUUAUUGGGUUUAAAGGGUGCGUAGGCGGCCUAUUAAGUCAGGGGUGAAAGACGGUAGCUUAACUAUCGCAGUGCCUUUGAUACUGAUAGGCUUGAAUGUACUUGAGGUAGGCGGAAUGUGACAAGUAGCGGUGAAAUGCAUAGAUAUGCCACAGAACACCAAUUGCGAAGGCAGCUUACUAAAGUAUGAUUGACGCUGAGGCACGAAAGCGUGGGGAUCAAACAGG